AAUCUGGAGCCCCCCGGCCCCCGAGUUGUAAUUUGGAGAGGCAUCUUCGGGGGGGAGCGCCGGCCCAUGUUCCUUGGAACAGGACGUCGCAGAGGGUGAGAAUCCCGUGCCAGGCCGGCUGCCUCCUCCCUAGUGAAGGGCCUUCGACGAGUCGAGUUGUUUGGGAAUGCAGCUCCAAGUGGGUGGUAAAUUUCAUCUAAAGCUAAAUACCGGCGGGAGACCGAUAGCGCACAAGUAGAGUGAUCGAAAGAUGAAAAGCACUUUGAAAAUAGAGUCAAAAAGUACGUGAAAUUGUUGAAAGGGAAGCGCUUGAGACCAGACUCAGACCCGAGCAAACACCGCGCCCCUCGGGGCCGUGCAAUUGCCUGGGGCUGGGCCAGCAUCAGUUGGCGUGGCGGGACAAAGGCGCGGGGAAUGUGGCUCCCCUCGGGGAGUGUUAUUAGGCCCGCGCUCAAUGCCGCCGCCGCCGACUGAGGACCGCGCCUCGGCUAGGAUGCUGGCUUAAUGGCCUUCAGCGACCCGUCUUGAAACACGGACCAAGGAGUCUAACAUCUAUGCGAGUGUUUGGGCGUCAAACCCUUGCGCGGAAUGAAAGUGAGCGGAGGUGGGAACCCCUUCGCAGGGCGCACCAUCGACCGAUCCUGAUGUCUUCGGAUGGAUUUGAGUA
This 667-nucleotide ribosomal RNA is filed under the name Helvella costifera. RNAcentral describes it as "partial large subunit ribosomal RNA". It matches the Rfam family "Eukaryotic large subunit ribosomal RNA", at positions 119 to 796 of the family's 3401-position model. Lineage: Eukaryota; Fungi; Ascomycota; Pezizomycetes; Pezizales; Helvellaceae. The record is from RNAcentral.